Molecule: small nuclear RNA, 165 nt
Organism: Vulpes vulpes (red fox)
Lineage: Eukaryota; Metazoa; Chordata; Mammalia; Carnivora; Canidae
Gene: U1
Rfam family: U1 spliceosomal RNA
About the family: U1 is a small nuclear RNA (snRNA) component of the spliceosome (involved in pre-mRNA splicing). Its 5' end forms complementary base pairs with the 5' splice junction, thus defining the 5' donor site of an intron.
Source: Ensembl
AUACCUACCUGGCAGGGGAGAUAACCAUGAUCACGAAGGUAAUCUCCCCAGGGUGAGGCUUAUCCAUUGCACUAUGGUUGUGCCAACCCCUGUGACUCCCUCAAAAGUGGGAAACUUGACUGCAUAAUUUGUGGUAGUGGGGGAUUGCGCUUAUGCUUUUCCCUU